Molecule: ribosomal RNA, 440 nt
Filed under: uncultured bacterium
Lineage: Bacteria
Description: partial 16S ribosomal RNA
Rfam family: Bacterial small subunit ribosomal RNA
Source: RNAcentral
CCUACGGGUGACAGCAGUGGGGAAUAUUGCACAAUGGGGGGAACCCUGAUGCAGCGACGCCGCGUGGGUGAGGAAGUACUUCGGUAUGUAAAGCCCUAUCAGCAGGGAAGAAAAUGACGGUACCUGACUAAGAAGCCCCGACUAACUACGUGCCAGCAGCCGCGGUAAUACGUAGGGGGCAAGCGUUAUCCGGAUUUACUGGGUGUAAAGGGAGCGUAGACGGCGUGCCAAGUCUGAUGUGAAAGGCCGGGGCUCAACCCCGGGACUGCAUUGGAAACUGGCGGGCUAGAGAGCAGGAGAGGGCGGUGGAACUCCAUGUGUAGCGGUAAAAUGCGUAGAUAUAUGGAAGAACACCAGUGGCGAAGGCGGCCGCCUGGCCUGUUACUGACGCUGAGGCACGAAAGCGUGGGGAGCAAAUAGGAUUAGAUACCCUUGUAGUC